CGCUUUUCAGAAGUAAACAAUUUUAAGUCUUUUGCAUGUCAUUCAUUCGAUCACAUUUGCCACGAGGAGAAAAAUCGCCGACAGAAUUGCUAGUGUGAACUAGGCUUAAACGUGUUGUAUAUUUAUAUGUGAUAGAGAUUUCCUUGUUUACAUAAACUUUAACUAAAAUUAAAAUAUUCGCAAUGCGUGUUUUAUCAGACCUUAGCUAGUUAAUAAUUGUGCGGAUAUCUAUUUUUAUUUGGGUAAGAAUCUAAAAGCA
This is a non-coding RNA of Paramuricea clavata, 259 nucleotides long. The record is from the annotation of a GenBank genome assembly. NCBI's taxonomy places the organism in Eukaryota, Metazoa, Cnidaria, Anthozoa, Malacalcyonacea, Plexauridae.